Cercocebus atys (sooty mangabey) is the source of this 662-nucleotide RNA transcript. It is a transcript of the gene named T-cell receptor beta chain V region CTL-L17-like, with no coding region annotated. The transcript has 2 exons. The record is from RefSeq and is a predicted model, not a curated record. NCBI's taxonomy places the organism in Eukaryota, Metazoa, Chordata, Mammalia, Primates, Cercopithecidae.
UGGUAAUGCCCCUGUCCUGGCCUGACCCUUCCAUGGGCACCAGGCUCCUCUGCUGGGUGGUCCUGGGUUUCCUAGGGACAGAUCACACAGACACUGGAGUCUCCCAGUCCCCAAGGUACAAAGUCACAGAGAGGGGACAGGAUGUAGGGGCCAGGAUGUAGCUCUCAGGUGUGAUCCAAUUUCGGGUCAUGCAAUCCUUUAUUGGUAUCAAAGGCCCUGGGGCAGGGCCCAGAGAUUCUGACUUUCUUCAGUUACGAAGCUCAACCAGACAAAUCAGGGCUGCCCAGUGAUCGCUUCUCUGCAGCGAGGCCUGAGGGAUCCGUCUCCACUCUGAAGAUCCUGCCCACACAGCAGGGGAACUCGGCCGUGUAUCUCUGUGCCAGCAGCUUAGCCACAGUGUGGCACAGUCACCUCCUUCCUGUUCACAAACCUCGUCCUUCUCUCUCCUUGCAGCUACUAGAGACCCUUAACAGAGGCCUCUCUUUGAUUCUCACUUUUCAUAGGAAAGAAGUAGAUUUGGACAUCGGCUGUCCUUUGGGUAGAAAGAGACCACGGAUUCAUUCCUGAAACACAGUGAAUACAAAUGUAGGUGGUGAAAACAAUCACAGCCCACUGCACUCUAGGAGUCCUCAGAGCCAGCUUACUUCUCCAAGCAAGGAGUG